AGGAGAAUUACUGGAGUUGUGCCAAUAAUGAGGUUAUAUAAAUGAGCGUCUAGUUUUUAGUGAAAUCAUCAUCUGACAUUGUCCUCUGCAGGUCAUCCUCCCAUUUGUUCAUGCAAGGUGGGGGAAUAUUAUAUCUAUCAUUGACUAACAUAUUAUAAAUAAUGUAAAGGAUCAAAUUAGUGUCCCUCGCAAUAUGUCUCAAAUGCUGUAAGCUCUUGAGUGAAACUUCUUCUUUGAGGGAUACCACGUAGAUAAUGUAAAAUCUGGGCUUAGGUUUAUUCGUGGGUUUGGUUCAUGCCAACGGCCACUAGAGAACCAGCUUAAGGUUCCAUUCGCAUGAAGGGAAAGUGCCGAACCAAGGGCACCCAGGGCAAGCUACUAAUGGCGGUUGGGAAAAUUUAACUCCCGAACAGGGUCUUUGUAUAUGGCCCAUAGUCCUAGGGCAGGAGGCUAGCUGGCAGGCUCUUCCAGGAGCCCGUGGCAUAGGCACGUUUGCCACAGGUGAGUAUGUGGAGGAACGCAUGGGUAUUGUUUGUAAACAUGUCUGGCAGAGGUAUCAGAGAUUUGGAAUCCCUGCUCCAGGAAGAGGCAUCACUGCAAAUACAUGUUUGAGUGGUCCAUAUAUCUCCACGGGAAAAUCUGUGUUUUCCCAUAGAGGUAGCAUUGGGCCCUUGUCUGUGGUCAGGAACUAUCUAGAGCACCAUCUCUACC
This is a non-coding RNA of Pelobates cultripes (western spadefoot toad), 711 nucleotides long. The record is from the annotation of a GenBank genome assembly. Lineage: Eukaryota; Metazoa; Chordata; Amphibia; Anura; Pelobatidae.